CCAUAACAUGAACAAAGAGCAGUGAGGUUGCAUUUAGUGUGUCCUGAUAUUAAGCCUGUAUUAUAUGUAUGUGAGACUGUUAUAAUGGUUUCCCCUGAAGCGUGUCUGGUGGAUGUGAUCUUGCUGUAACAUGGGACCAAGCUGGAGAACAACUUUGUUCUGGAGUCAUUACUGAAGAUACUGCCAAACACUGGACUCACAGAAGUUCUCUUGGAAGUUCCAUUUCAAACUUUGGAAAAUUCCUAAUAAAUUAUUGAGUAUGUUUUAAAAUCAGACCAUGCUUUGCUUCUCUUUGAUGUCAGUUGUGUGAUUCUAAAAAAAGGAUGGAAAGACCUUGGGGAAAAAAGUUGGAAAUGACCCUUCCCACUGUGAAUGAUACAAGCUGCCUCAUUAUUACAGUCUGCUCCAUAGACUUCUGGGAGAUUACUGACUUCUUGGAAAGAAGAAAUUUUGAGUGUGAAGAACCUAUUUUGGAUUGGGAAUGGAGUAUCAAAUUGUGUGUGCCAGGGCUGCAAAGAAC
This is a long non-coding RNA of Tympanuchus pallidicinctus (lesser prairie-chicken), 520 nucleotides long. RefSeq lists it as uncharacterized. The transcript is spliced from 5 exons. The record is from RefSeq and is a predicted model, not a curated record. NCBI's taxonomy places the organism in Eukaryota, Metazoa, Chordata, Aves, Galliformes, Phasianidae.